AUGAACGCUGGCGGCGUGCCUAAUACAUGCAAGUCGAGCGCACAGACGAGGAGCUUGCUCCUCUGACGUUAGCGGCGGACGGGUGAGUAACACGUGGAUAACCUACCUAUAAGACUGGGAUAACUUCGGGAAACCGGAGCUAAUACCGGAUAAUAUAUUGAACCGCAUGGUUCAAUAGUGAAAGACGGUUUUGCUGUCACUUAUAGAUGGAUCCGCGCCGCAUUAGCUAGUUGGUAAGGUAACGGCUUACCAAGGCAACGAUGCGUAGCCGACCUGAGAGGGGAAUCGGCCAACCGGGAGCUGAGGAGGGGACCGAACCCAUACGGGGGGGAAGAGAAGGGAAUCUGCCGCAUUGGGGAAAAGCGGAAGGGAGCAACCCCGGAGAAGGGAGAAAGGUCUGGGGAUCGUAAAGCUAUGUAUUUAGGGAGAAAAAAAUGGGAAGAAAACUGUGCCCGUCUUGACGGACCCAAAACAGAAAGCCGGGGCUAACUACGG
This 495-nucleotide ribosomal RNA is filed under the name uncultured bacterium. RNAcentral's name for it is "partial 16S ribosomal RNA". It matches the Rfam family "Bacterial small subunit ribosomal RNA", at positions 30 to 506 of the family's 1533-position model. The record is from RNAcentral.